Molecule: long non-coding RNA, 738 nt
Organism: Sceloporus undulatus (fence lizard)
Lineage: Eukaryota; Metazoa; Chordata; Lepidosauria; Squamata; Phrynosomatidae
Exons: 4
Source: RefSeq, a predicted model, not a curated record
GUUGUGGGAUACCUCCAGCCGGAGAUGCCCAGCUUGCCCCCUUUUCUGUGCCAUGAUGGGGAUGGAUGCAGGAGCUUUUUUCCCUGCCCAGAAGUAAACCUGGCAGCCUCCUCAGAGCAUGCAGAGAGACCGAAAAGACUGGGGUCCUUCUUUUCCUCAUCCCUUCCUCCCAAACAGCACCCAGAAGAUGCUGCAAAAGAAAGUCUGUGCACUUGCUUGCUGACAUGCCUCAGUCUUAAGGCAUAGGAAAGGAUCAAGCAGAGGAAAGAGACAGGAAGCCUUUUCCUUGAAGUAAAUGCCUCCAAAUCCAGGGGGUACCAUGGCAACACAUGGUAUUUCCAACUACAGAACGACCAAUGUAGUCCAACGAAAGUCACAUGCAUAAGAAAGCACUCUGAUGAGGAAGCUGAGGAAAGCCGCCACCAGCAAGAAAGACAUUAAAUCAUUUGAGAGAAGAAAUAAAUAUUAAAAUGUCUGGGAAAAUAAAUAGGUCUUUAUUUGACUCCUAAAUGUUAUGUUAUGCUUUGCUAGGUGUGUUUCUAGGGAAGGCAUUCUACAAUGGAAGUACCACCACCAAAAAGUCUCCUUGCUGUAUCUCAUUGGUUAAAUGGUGGAGUGGGACCCCCAGUGGGAAGUGAGAGUUGCUCAAAUGGGGGUGCAAGACUUGCAGACUCUUAUUAUUAUUUAUGGUAUUUAUACCCCGCCCUUCAGCCGUAAAGGCAACAAAUCCCUUCUCUU